GAUGAACGCUGGCGGCGUGCCUAAUACAUGCAAGUCGAGCGAACAGACGAGGAGCUUGCUCCUCUGACGUUAGCGGCGGACGGGUGAGUAACACGUGGAUAACCUACCUAUAAGACUGGGAUAACUUCGGGAAACCGGAGCUAAUACCGGAUAAUAUAUUGAACCGCAUGGUUCAAUAGUGAAAGACGGUUUUGCUGUCACUUAUAGAUGGAUCCGCGCCGCAUUAGCUAGUUGGUAAGGUAACGGCUUACCAAGGCAACGAUGCGUAGCCGACCUGAGAGGGUGAUCGGCCACACUGGAACUGAGACACGGUCCAGACUCCUACGGGAGGCAGCAGUAGGGAAUCUUCCGCAAUGGGCGAAAGCCUGACGGAGCAACGCCGCGUGAGUGAUGAAGGUCUUCGGAUCGGAAAACUCUGUUAUUAGGGAAGAGCAAAUGUGUAAGUAACUAUGCACGUCUUGACGGUACCUAAUCAGAAAGCCACGGCUAACUACGUG
RNAcentral lists this ribosomal RNA (497 nucleotides) under uncultured bacterium. Its description in RNAcentral is "partial 16S ribosomal RNA". It matches the Rfam family "Bacterial small subunit ribosomal RNA", at positions 28 to 507 of the family's 1533-position model. The record is from RNAcentral.